GGGCGUGUAAAUUGCUAUAAAAUUUCAGUUAAACUAUGAACUAGUUUUCAACUUUGAACUUGCUAUUUCUAUUACAUUUAAUUUAAUUUCAAUAGUAUCAACAUACUUAGGGAGCUACCAUUUGAUUUUUAUGGGGGGGCUAGGAUGAAAUUUGAAAAAAAUAGGCAGGACAGGAGUUUUGAGUAAAAAAAAAGGCAGGAUGAGACACUUGCAAAAAAAAAAAAAGUCAGGACGACAAUUUAGGUAAAAAAAAGUCAGGAUAAACUAAAAAAAAAAGGCAGGACCGAACAGAGUGAAAAAUAAAAAGGCAGGACAGAGAUUACAGCUAAAAAAAAUGCAGGACAAAAUUUUUCUUCCUAGCCCCCCCAUAAAAAUCAAAUGGUAGCUCCCUUAUCAUUUCUGAUA
This 405-nucleotide long non-coding RNA is filed under the name Mytilus galloprovincialis (Mediterranean mussel). The record is from RNAcentral. Lineage: Eukaryota; Metazoa; Mollusca; Bivalvia; Mytilida; Mytilidae.